Molecule: ribosomal RNA, 440 nt
Filed under: uncultured bacterium
Lineage: Bacteria
Description: partial 16S ribosomal RNA
Rfam family: Bacterial small subunit ribosomal RNA
Source: RNAcentral
CCUACGGGAGGCAGCAGUGGGGAAUAUUGCACAAUGGGGGAAACCCUGAUGCAGCGACGCCGCGUGAGUGAAGAAGUAUCUCGGGACGUAAAGCUCUAUCAGCAGGGAAGAAAAUGACGGUACCUGACGAAGAAGCCCCGGCUAACUACGUGCCAGCAGCCGCGGUAAUACGUAGGGGGCAAGCGUUAUCCGGAUUUACUGGGUGAAAAGGGAGCGGAGACGGCAGCACAAGUCUGGAGUGAAAUCCCGGGGCUUAACCCCGGAACUGCUUUGGAAACUGUGCGGCUGGAGUGCAGGAGGGUUAAUCGGACUUCCUAGUGUAGCGGUGAAAUGCUUCGAUAUUCGGAGGACCACCGGUUGCGAAGGCGGCUUACUGUACUGUACCUGACGUUGAGGCUCGACCGCGUGGGGAGCAAACAGGAUUAGAUACCCGGGUAGUC